UGGCAGCUCACUGCAGCUGAAGUAAUAUAGGUCAUAAGACCCCCAUUUCAAGAGGGUCCUGCUGCAUACCCAGAAGGAAGGAAUACUGCACAGAGAAGCUAAGAGGAAUUUAAACAGACAGACCUUGCUGGACUUUCCUACUCAGUCUAUUAACAUUAGAUCAUACCCUUUCUGCCCAGUUAUUUUUCUCCAUGGCUGUCCGUACUUCAUUGAACCCAAGCCUAAAAAUGGGCAGUUUCC
RNAcentral lists this long non-coding RNA (240 nucleotides) under Homo sapiens (human). RNAcentral's name for it is "HSALNT0086628". The record is from RNAcentral. Lineage: Eukaryota; Metazoa; Chordata; Mammalia; Primates; Hominidae.